Molecule: ribosomal RNA, 869 nt
Filed under: Pseudoalteromonas sp. 'A1 isolate-2'
Lineage: Bacteria; Pseudomonadati; Pseudomonadota; Gammaproteobacteria; Alteromonadales; Pseudoalteromonadaceae
Description: bacterial SSU rRNA
Rfam family: Bacterial small subunit ribosomal RNA
Source: RNAcentral
AGAGUUUGAUCAUGGCUCAGAUUGAACGCUGGCGGCAGGCCUAACACAUGCAAGUCGAGCGGUAACAGAAAGUAGCUUGCUACUUUGCUGACGAGCGGCGGACGGGUGAGUAAUGCUUGGGAACAUGCCUUGAGGUGGGGGACAACAGUUGGAAACGACUGCUAAUACCGCAUAAUGUCUACGGACCAAAGGGGGCUUCGGCUCUCGCCUUUAGAUUGGCCCAAGUGGGAUUAGCUAGUUGGUGAGGUAAUGGCUCACCAAGGCAACGAUCCCUAGCUGGUUUGAGAGGAUGAUCAGCCACACUGGAACUGAGACACGGUCCAGACUCCUACGGGAGGCAGCAGUGGGGAAUAUUGCACAAUGGGCGAAAGCCUGAUGCAGCCAUGCCGCGUGUGUGAAGAAGGCCUUCGGGUUGUAAAGCACUUUCAGUCAGGAGGAAAGGGUGUGAGUUAAUACCUCAUAUCUGUGACGUUACUGACAGAAGAAGCACCGGCUAACUCCGUGCCAGCAGCCGCGGUAAUACGGAGGGUGCGAGCGUUAAUCGGAAUUACUGGGCGUAAAGCGUACGCAGGCGGUUUGUUAAGCGAGAUGUGAAAGCCCCGGGCUCAACCUGGGAACUGCAUUUCGAACUGGCAAACUAGAGUGUGAUAGAGGGUGGUAGAAUUUCAGGUGUAGCGGUGAAAUGCGUAGAGAUCUGAAGGAAUACCGAUGGCGAAGGCAGCCACCUGGGUCAACACUGACGCUCAUGUACGAAAGCGUGGGGAGCAAACGGGAUUAGAUACCCCGGUAGUCCACGCCGUAAACGAUGUCUACUAGAAGCUCGGACCUCGGUCUGUUUUCAAAGCUAACGCAUUAGUAGACCGCCUGGG